RNAcentral lists this ribosomal RNA (1527 nucleotides) under Triticum aestivum (bread wheat). RNAcentral's name for it is "partial small subunit ribosomal RNA". The record is from RNAcentral. Lineage: Eukaryota; Viridiplantae; Streptophyta; Magnoliopsida; Poales; Poaceae.
AUGCCUGUCCGGCUGCAUACUUUUCUUAGUUCGGCAAGGCAUAUCAGCAAUUCAUCUGUGUUCAUUUUUCAGUUCAUUGCUUUCCAUCUUAGCCCACUUUUGAUUCACUUGUCCUAUUUUGUUGUCAUUGAUGUACUUGGCUUUGCUGCCUUGAUGGCCCUGAAGCCAAGCAACCCUAACUACAGUCCUCGCUAUGUCGAUAUAUUUUUCCUUUCGACAUCUGCAGUCACAGUUACAGGAUUAGCUACCAUCAAAAUGGAGGAUCUUUCUACCUCUCAAGUAGUUAUCCUAACUCUCUUGAUGUUGUUAGGAAGUGAGAUGUUUGUUUCCCUGCUUGGCCAUAUUCAUGAGUUGAGCAAGCAAAACAAGCAUGACCCUGAAGAUAGUAGAGUUACAUCGGUUACCGUGCAAGAUGAGUCGCAGAUAGAAGAGGCAAUCCCGGCAACACCAUCAAUUAAUACCACUAGCCUCAAGAAGAGUUGCCGCAAAUACAUAGGAUUUGUGCUGUUGGCAUACAUGGUCUUGAUUCUUCUUGUAGGUUCUCUAUUGGUGUUCUUGUACGUAGCACAUGUUUCAACUGCAAGAGAUGUGCUAACAAGGAAAAGUAUCAAUACCAUGCUCUUCUCGAUAUCAGUCACCGUCUCUUCUUUCACCAACGGAGGGCUGAUUCCGACGAACGAGAGCAUGGCGGUUUUUUCCUCAAACCAGGGCCUCCUCCUGCUACUCACUGGCCAGAUUCUUGCAGGCAACACCCUGCUUCCUGUGUUUCUGAGGCUGAUGAUAUGGGCACUGAGAGGACUAAGAAUAACCAGAGCUAAACCUGAAGAGUUGGAGUUCAUGAUGAACAACACAAAGGCCUUGGGUUCUAACCACUUGCUGCCUAACAAGCAGACAGUAUUCCUUGCAGCAUCGGUCGCUGCUCUCAUAGCCGUGGCCGUCACGUUUUUCUGCUGCUUGAACUGGGAAUCCGCAGUGUUUGCGGGGCUGACCCCCAAUCAGAAGAUCACCAACGCAUUGUUCAUGGCGGUGAACACAAGGCAGGCAGGGGAGAAUUCCAUUGACUGCUCCCUCGUCGCUCCUGCGGUUUUAAUACUAUUCAUCGCCAUGAUGUGCAUCCCGGCCUCGACAUCAUUUCUCUCACUGCAUGAAGGUGCCGAGAGGGGCAUCACAGAACACAAGGAUGGGGCAAACAAGAGAAGAAUGUCGCUGAAUAAAAUGCUGUUUUCACCACUAGCCUGCACCGCAGUGCUGAUAAUGCUGGCCUGCAUCACCGAGAGGAGAUCGCUCUCCGCCGACCCCCUCAAUUUCUCCACAUUCAACAUGAUCUUCGAGGUCAUAAGCGCGUACAGGAACGUAGGACUGUCCACCGGUUACAGCUGCGCGAGGCUGCCGCACGCGGAGAAGCAGAGCGUCUGCCAGGACAUGCCCUACAGCUUCUCCGGGUGGUGGAGCGACCAGGGGAAGGUGGUUCUUGUCCUGGUGAUGCUCUACGGGAGGCUCAAAUGCUUCCACAGGCAGAGGAGCUAG